RNAcentral lists this ribosomal RNA (460 nucleotides) under uncultured bacterium. RNAcentral's name for it is "partial 16S ribosomal RNA". It matches the Rfam family "Bacterial small subunit ribosomal RNA", at positions 338 to 795 of the family's 1533-position model. The record is from RNAcentral.
CCUACGGGAGGCAGCAGUGAGGAAUAUUGGUCAAUGGGCGUAAGCCUGAACCAGCCAAGUCGCGUGAGGGAUGAAGGUUCUAUGGAUCGUAAACCUCUUUUAUAAGGGAAUAAAGUGAGGGACGUGUCCCGUUUUGUAUGUACCUUAUGAAUAAGGAUCGGCUAACUCCGUGCAAGCAGCCGCGGUAAUACGGAGGAUCCGAGCGUUAUCCGGAUUUAUUGGGUUUAAAGGGUGCGUAGGCGGUCUGUUAAGUCAGCGGUGAAAGUCUGUGGCUCAACCAUAGAAUUGCCGUUGAAACUGGCAGGCUUGAGUAUGUUUGAGGCAGGCGGAAUGCGUGGUGUAGCGGUGAAAUGCUUAGAUAUCACGCAGAACCCCGAUUGCGAAGGCAGCCUGCCAAGCCAUGACUGACGCUGAUGCACGAAAGCGUGGGGAUCAAACAGGAUUAGAUACCCUAGUAGUC